CCAUUUCAAUGUUAGCGCCUGGCGAACAGAUAUGUGGGACCAACUUAGUAUUGAACGAGGGGAACUAGGCCUUUCAAGUGGUGUAAAAUUGCUGCAUGUAUCGCAUAGUUUUUGGCAAAGGUUGUAGUUUUGUUAUAUUUAGGUACAAGCUAUUUUUCAAAUUUGCUUUGGCCUUUGCGCUUGGAGGCGUAAGAUAUGUAUGCAGUGUGGACGUUUUUAAGUUCCAUAUUGCCUGCAGUAUAAAGUUUACGUAAGUCGUAAAGAUUGCGUAAUAAAGUUAUUUUGGUAAAUUUGUAUAUUAAAAGUAUAAAUUACAAUAAAAUAAAACACAAUAUCUUUG
This is a non-coding RNA of Paramuricea clavata, 340 nucleotides long. The record is from the annotation of a GenBank genome assembly. NCBI's taxonomy places the organism in Eukaryota, Metazoa, Cnidaria, Anthozoa, Malacalcyonacea, Plexauridae.